UUAGUGAUAAGUUAAAGAAACUGUGUGGUUCAUGCCCAGAUAAUGAAAGAUUAAGUAAAAAAAUAAAUUUUCUUACUAUA
RNAcentral lists this transfer RNA (80 nucleotides) under Bipalium adventitium. RNAcentral describes it as "tRNA-Met". Lineage: Eukaryota; Metazoa; Platyhelminthes; Tricladida; Geoplanidae. The record is from RNAcentral.